This 614-nucleotide unclassified non-coding RNA is filed under the name Entoloma milleri. RNAcentral describes it as "sequence contains ITS1, 5.8S rRNA gene and ITS2". The stretch from base 245 to 398 matches the Rfam family "5.8S ribosomal RNA". The record is from RNAcentral. Lineage: Eukaryota; Fungi; Basidiomycota; Agaricomycetes; Agaricales; Entolomataceae.
UUGAAUAAACUGGCUUAGGUUGCUGCUGGCUCUUAGGAGCAUGUGCACAUCUAUUCCAUUUUUCUAAACCUCCUGUGCACUUUGUGUAGACCUGAACAAUUUCUCAAGAGUUUUUCUCUUGGUCUGAAGAUUGCUGGGUGAAAACCUAGCUUUCCUUGUGUUUCAGUGUUUAUGUUUCACACACUCUAUAAAAAUAUAUUAGAAUGUUAUAUAUUGGCCUUUGUGCCUUUAAAAAACCUAAUACAACUUUCAACAACGGAUCUCUUGGCUCUCGCAUCGAUGAAGAACGCAGCGAAAUGCGAUAAGUAAUGUGAAUUGCAGAAUUCAGUGAAUCAUCGAAUCUUUGAACGCACCUUGCGCUCUUUGGUAUUCCAAGGAGCAUGCCUGUUUGAGUGUCAUGAAAUUCUCAACCUUUCUGGCUUGUUAUGAGCUUGUUUAGGCUUGGACGGUGGAAGGUUGCUGGCUUCACAGAAGUCAGCUCUUCUAAAAUUCAUUAGUGAGAUUAUUGCUGGCUCAUCUUUGAUAUGAUAAUUAUCUGUAUCAUUGAAGACUCAGUCUCCUUUAUUGGAAAAUUUUACUUCAAAUAGUCUCUGUUGAGACAAUACUUGACAAUU